RNAcentral lists this ribosomal RNA (393 nucleotides) under uncultured bacterium. Its description in RNAcentral is "partial 16S ribosomal RNA". It matches the Rfam family "Bacterial small subunit ribosomal RNA", at positions 523 to 918 of the family's 1533-position model. The record is from RNAcentral.
AUACGGAGGAUCCAAGCGUUAUCCGGAUUUAUUGGGCUUAAAGGGUGCGUAGGCGGGAAAGUAAGUCUGAUGUGAAAGUUUAUGGCUCAACCAUAGAAUUGCAGUUGAAACUCUUUUUCUUGAGUACAGAUGAGGUGGGCGGAAUUUGUGGUGUAGCGGUGAAAUGCAUAGAUAUCACAAGGAACUCCAAUUGCGAAGGCAGCUCACUGGGGUGUAACUGACGCUAAUGCACGAAGGUGUGGGUAUCAAACAGGACUAGAUACCCUGGUAGUCCACACAGUAAACUAUGAAUACUCGCUGUUUGCGAUACACAGUAAGCGGCUAAGCGAAAGCAUUAAGUAUUCCACCUGGGGAGUACGUCGGCAACGAUGAAACUCAAAGGAAUUGACGGGG